Long non-coding RNA from Bombus huntii, 2823 nucleotides. RefSeq lists it as uncharacterized. The transcript is spliced from 3 exons. Lineage: Eukaryota; Metazoa; Arthropoda; Insecta; Hymenoptera; Apidae. The record is from RefSeq and is a predicted model, not a curated record.
GCGGCAACCUGAAACAAUACGACAGUCAUUCAUCUACACAGGUUCACUGAUUUUUCAUCAAUAAUCUUGAAUGGACGACGAUAUGAAACGAGCGGAUUUACGAAAAAUUCGCGGCGAAAUUGGAAAAACGUGAUCCAAAUGCAGCCGCGUAAUUAACGAUUUCAAGUCGGGCUAAUAAAUUACCUUGGAUCAUCUGUGUCAACUGCAUGCAUAUUAAAUAGCACGAUAUUAAAACUACAUAGAAUUAUAAAUAAUUUAUAGAUUUUUCGCGCAGUUACCUUAAUUAGCAAUUAAGAUGUCACAAGGAUGUAAACAGUUGUCACAAGGAUGUUUUCACAGACAUUGUGUUUUUUAUCCGUUGGCUGGAAAAAACAAGAUACUGAACUUGUUGCGUAAGUGUUUUAACAUAGAAAAUUACUUAGUCCCUUUUAUCUAAACUGUUUUAUGAUGCUCGAAAAAAAUAAAAGCAUGUGGAUACCAGACUUAUCAUUAUAAUAUGAAAUAUAUUAUUUCUGUGUUCUGUAAGAUCUAGAGGCACAUUUAUAUUGAUGUAUGUGUCAAUAUUAUAUCUAUCAUAUUAUUGAUAGCUUUCUUAUGUACUUAUAUAAACAAAAGAACUGGUAGGAUCUAUGUAGUUAGUUAACAUACUAACAAUAUUAGUCAUUUAGCCUGUGAUUGUAAUGUGCAAUGGAAUCUAAUGUUACUGGUUGGUAAGUUAUUGUACAUCGAAUUAUUGGUGAAUCUUAUUCCAAUUAUACGAACGCUUACAAUUUUGCGUACGUUAGUAAGCAAAAGAAUGGGUAACAUACGUUCGAAUACAGUUAUUCGAACAUACUCUCCGGUUAUUUCAGUGACAAAUUAUAGAUAGUGAAGAAAAUCAGCGAUCUCCUGUUAUAAGAUGUCCAGUUAUCCAAAUCGUUUCCUCAGGUAUAAGUAGAAUUAAGUAAAAAUAACGACAAGUAGGAUCCUACUGUCUACUACCCAUGUACAUAAUUCUACUUAGCAUAAUUCUACCACGAAAAUUUGAAACAUAUUGGAAUUCCAAAAGAAAUAAUGACUUCCUCAAGUAGGAGUAAAAGAUAGUGCAAACUUUUGAGCAGACAAAAAUGAAAAGAUCCGAUCGUUUAACAAAAUUUUAAAUCCAUGGCCGAAAGAAGUUACUAAUUUAAAAAUCGAUACGGUUAAAGAGUUAAUAAUCAUUGAGCCAUUACUUGGCCGAUAUGGCGUGCGUCGAAACUGUUAUUGUAACAGCACUUUAAUCGGGCACGGGUGAAGCAAACGACGCUGAAACACAAAGUUUUCGAUGGAAUUGGAACGUCCGACGAUGAUUUCCGAAUCGUUAAACGGAAACUAUUCGCAUUAAAGAAGAAACCGACCGGUUGGGAGGGAAAAAUAAGAGGACCCCAGUUGCUGCGUGGUCGUGACAGUCGAGGUAUCCAAUUUGUGGAGUUAAUAGAAGUUUGAUCAAGCCUUGUUUCAAAUUGAAUGCCAAACUAUGGAUUGCUGCCGGUCGAUAGGACUUUUAUCGAAACGUUAAUGUUUUUUCGAUCGAUCGUCCGACACCGGUCGGGUCUCGUUUGAUGAACGAACGCGAUCCUGUUCUCUGUAUCACGAAAUUCAAUUGAAACUGCGAAUAAUAAUACUACCGAUUGUAGCCGUAAUAAUAAUGGCAAACUCGAUGGCGGUAAUAGGAACGCUGUAUCGCUGCGUUUCUGUUUAUUUCGUAUAAAUCGCCGCUUAUCGAAAUUGGAACGUAACACUUCACUUUUUUAUCAUACUGUAAGGUACUUUCCACAGUCGUAUACGUAUCGCCUUCUCAAUUUUUUCAUAUUUCAGGGGCUUACGGGUAAAGUAUGUCACAAGUGAAAAUGACUUGAAUUUGAAAAAUUGUGAUCAAGUAGACUACGGAUUUCUGUGCAUUUAUACGAAAUCUCAAGAAAUGGAAAAAUAAAGAAUUGUAAAAAUAGAAUAUGGUAGAAUACAUACAAUACGGAAAAAUACAUCAAAUUUCCAAGAUAGUGUAUUUGCCGUUAUUUUUUUUAUAGAUGUUAUAAAUUUCUAUUCAGAUUCUAUUUCUUUCCUUGUACUGGCAAAAGUGUAAAUUUGCAUAAUAAUCCUCAGUCCAAUACGUAAUUAGAUUUCAUCGAUAUCGAUAAAUAAUUAAUAAAUGUUAUAAUAUCUCAGAUGUAAUUGUUAAAUUUGUUGCAGGUAUGUUGUAGAUACCGUGUCGUUAAAUUAAAGGCAAAUUAACAGAGCAGUGGUGUAUAAUACACGCGUGGAAGAAUUUACGUAAAGUGCUACAUGCGCGUGUGCGCGGUACGCUCCGAUUCGAUUGAUGCGCGGAAAGUUAACGGGAAGAGACAAACAGCCGAAUCUGUUACGUGAAACGGGCCCUCGUGUGCGCCUGGUUCCCUCGAGAUUACUUCCUAGAUAACUAUAUACAUUUUUACGUUUUAUUCUUUUUUACGAAAGAACCGCACCCGUCUCUUUUAUGGCGCCGUAAAUUCUUUAUUUCUCACUGGCGCUUUUGGCAGGAUGACAUGGAUUUGUCUCCGCAUAUGGGAUGCCAUACAAGUUAAUAACUUCCUGUAUAGCCUGUUGAUGAAGAAAUCUUGAAUUUACUAACGAUCGAACGUUGAGGCCUUGGGAUGGUAUAAAUUAACGAAAUCUGAUUUGGAAAGAUUUAUAUCUGAUUAUCGGAUAGUUUAUUCAUUAUAUUCUCUUGUAUCGAUAUACAUAUUGUUGGUAUACUAGUCUUACUUAUAUUUUAUACUCCUGCGAUUAAUUUAUUGCACGUCAUAAAUUAUAGUUUUUUAUAUUAUA